AACAGUAUGGAAAGAUCUAUGAGGGCUCCUCUUGGAUCAGAGGUAAUGAAGGGGAUGAUGCAAUGUAAUUGGGUACACUGAUCUUAAUGUGACUAGUAGGAAUCGCAGAAUUAUAGAGGACAUUACUAGCAAUUAAUUGUAGAAGAAGUGGUGGAUGCUAUUGCUAUAAUAAGCCAUAGGACUUGAAUGGUAAUCGUGGAAUUUGGAUUUGAGGAAUCUGUGACAAUGUUUAAUUGAUGAGGGAGUCCCUAGUAAUAAAAUAUAUGGCAGCCUACUAAUAGACUGUUUGACAUAUAGAAGAGGAAAAAGUUUUGGCCCACAGUAAAGAAACCUAAUUCAAAUUUUUGAAGUGGAUUUCAUGCCUUCUAUACAAUUUCUAAAUUUGUUCAAAUCUAAAUUGGUUCAAAUACCUCAAGUCUCUUAACUAAGGAGAAGUCCAGGUCUCUUUGUAGAAAGACAUUAUAAUAUGGAACUAUCAAUCCUGUAAAUCUUUUCCCAAGACUCCCCUGGGAGAUCUGAAGCCAUUUAUUAUGGUGACUGUGCAUUGAGCCAAAGGUAAAUGCCCAGAUUUUCUGGAAGUUAUUAGGUAUCGUCCAUGAACUGAAGCUAAUCUCUCAAGACCCCAAAUAGCUUUUUGUUUUCAGAAGCAGAAGGACUGGGGAUAAAUACUACUAUUAUUUCCUCAUUCAGAAAGUUUAGGGGAAUUAAUUUUCAGGAAGAGGCAAAAUACCCAUAUUGACAUUUUGACCUAUGAAGUGGGGAGAUAUUAUGGUAGAAAAGAUUGAAUAGAAAUCCCUGAAACUGCCUCCAACCCUUCCCUCCCUCUUCCCAUAAGAUCAAAAGUGAUAUUCAAUUCCUGGAGAUAUUGUAGAGAUUAGUAUCAGUAUACAAAUUUUGAGAAAUAAAAUGGUUACGCUUGCCAUGUAUUACUUAACAUUAGCCUAUUUGACUGAUACAAAAGCCAGAUGUAUUAUGGAGAAUAAUAGUAGCCUAUAGCAAACUUAAUCAUGUAGUGAUUAUAUUUGCAGCUGUGCUGGGAUUCUAUUUUAAUAAGUGAGGGAGAUCAGAAGCAGUUUGCAUUUACAUAGCAGAGACUACAGUAUACCUUCAGUAUUUUGCCCAAGGGCUGUGCCACUCUCUUACUCUAUGUUAUAAUCUAGAUGGGCCUUCAUCAUCUUGUUAUUUUACUGAACAUCUCACUUAUCUACUAUACUACAUAAUGGUGACACUGUUAGCUGGGUCUGGUAAGUAGGAAGUAUAAAGCACUCAAGAUAUCUUAAUAAGAUGUAUGCAUUCUAGUGGUUAAAAUCUGUUACGUUUCAGGGUCUAAAAUAUAAGUUGUCUGGUAAGCAUAAUGUGAUCUCUUUUCUGAACUAGCUACUACACCUUACACGGCACUCACCACUUAGAAAAUGGUAUGCAUCUAAAACCAGUUAGGAUUCUGCAGCCACUGCAUAUAUUUGGGGAUGGUCCUCUCCCUCAUUUAUUGGCAAAUCAUAAGGUUACAAUUUUUGAGUGGGACCUCUAGGAAGAAAGGGGUCUGUGGCAGGUCUAAGUUGCAAUGCAGGUUACUUUGCUAUCUGGACCUAAUAAUAUGGGACACUAUAAAUAAAGGAAGUAUUUGUGGCAGAGAGAGAUGCUCUUUGAGCCUCUGGCAAAUUCAGUAUGAAAAUCACAGCACAGGGUUCUGGAAUGAGGCCAUGUCCUUCUUUACUGACAAAUAUUUUCCAUUUGAAAAAUAACUCCUGGCUUGCUAGCUGGUUCUGAUAGACACUAACCAUUUGACCAUGGGAUAUAAAAUGACUAUGCAAUCUGAACUUCACAUUAUAUAUAAAGUAUUAUUUGACCAACAGAAUUUAAAGUUGGACAUAAACAAUAAAAUUGAAAUAGUAUCUGCACAUCCAGUCCUGAGCAUAUUCAUCAAUCUUCAGGAGCAGAUUCAUAUUGUAUUUGCUUCUCUUGUUUUGUCAUCUUUUCCUCAUCCACACUUAUGACUGCAUGGAGAGUUCAAAAUGACUACUUAAUUGUGGAGGCAAAGCAUGGGCCUGAUUUAUGGAUAGAUCUCCAUGCUUUGCUGGCACCAGAUGAAGAAGGACAAACAUUACACAACAAUCACACUCAGUGGUGACCUUGAAAGACAUGUAUGAUGGAGUCAUUAUUACUCCAUGAUAAUGUUAACAGCUGAUGGGAUUUCAUAGGUCUCCCAAGAUGAGAACAUGUAGUUUUCAACUGGAUGAAGGAAAAAAAAAUGAAUGGUGAGGGGCGAAACAUGUAGGUUUUGUUGAACAUACUCCAUGUGAAAUUACAGAUCAACUUUCACCCUUCUAAAUUUUGAUCUCUGCCCUGGAAGAAUGGUUUGUGUGGGCUACAUCCCAGGCUUCUCUGGCUUUCAGCUGAGGAUGGCCAGUAGAGAUCCCAGGCAGGCGAUCAGAACGAGGGCGAGCAUUUAUUCCCAUGGCUCUUUUCUUGUGAAAUCAUUGCAAAUUAGUUUAAAUUUGACUCAACAUCACUGUUUAUUUCAAGGUAAUUUAACUUUUUUCUAUAUGACUCUUUCCUUUUAUGUCCUGAUAACUGGUCCUUUCCCUUGUCCUUUUAGGCCUGUGGGUAAUGAUAGCACUGUUCUAACCAGUUCUGAGUUACUGCACAACCCUUCUUGUUCAGAACCACCCUACCUACACCUUUGUAAGUAGGACCUUAAUUAAAAAAAAUCCUCUAAAAAUGUCCAAUUUGAGAGUGCCAUCUGUUUCCUAUAGGGAAAUACACCUCGGGCAGUCUUCUUCCCUCUUAACUCCACUCCGUUCAUUAUUUAGGGCUCAUGCAUUUUCAAGUGACAAAAAUAUUCCAACUAACCUUGCUUAAGCUGAAAAAGCAUAGGGAUUUAUUGCAUCACUAGAAAGUCCAAGGGAUAAUUCUGUCACCAGGCAUGGUUGAUUCCAAGAGCUCACAUGAUGUUGGCAGGGUUCUCUCCUCUUGGCUUUAGUUUGUGUUGCUUUCCUUUUUUAGGCAAGUCCUUUCCACAAAGUGACAAAUAUGGACACUGGCUGUUCUGGCUUAUGGUGGCUUUACAGAUUACAAUCCUAGGAAAAAGAGCGUGAGAGAUACUGCAAACAUCCUAACACACAUUGUGAUGUGAUUCCAAUGGUGAACUGUUGGGUGUAGUUGAGGUGGCUUUCCUGGCUGUCAUGUUGGCACUCACGUAGAAUAAAUGAACAAACUCUGCAGUCUGGCAGAGGAGUGGCUGUGAAUGGAAAAGAACAUUGCCUGGAUCAGAGGAGGGCCAUCUCCCAGCUCUCCACUGGAGCUGAUUCUCUUUGAAGUAUAUACUUGAAAUCAAGGAAGAAUGUUGAUAAUAGAGGGUAUAGGGCAAGCCAAAGGCCAGCUUCUCUUUUAACUGGAACACUCCUCUUGCUAGAAUAGUGUCACUUGUCUGCCUCAGAAGAAAAACUGUUUUGGUAAAUCCAUUUGGAAUGGCCUCUCAGCCUCAAUCAGAUCACCAAACUCAAUAAUAUUGUGAAGAGGGAUUCUCUUGGGUGAACAGUGAAAUGGAACUGUUCAAAAGACUUCAUAAAAGGCACAAAAGCCCUUUGCCAACCUUGCGUGUCUCUCUUUUUGGUAACCUUGCUGCAAAUAUAACUUGGAGCAGUUUGUAUGAAUCUUUGGGGUGACAAUGGAUGUAAGGAAACAAACUUGUCUGGGAUAGAGGAUGUAUUGCACCUUCUGUGAUAUGAAAUGCAUAAUACGGCUGGAUUAUAGCAACAGAGGGAACAGAUAGGUAUUGAUCCCAAGAGUUUUCUAAAAAUCCCCUGGAGGGGUAAUCUCUGUAUCAUUCUUUCUCUCAGGGAAUUAGACCUUUGAGAGAAGACUUUCUGGGAGAAAUGAUAUUCAAGCUGAGAACUAAAGUAGCUGUCUAGAAGAUAGGUGCGCUCAUUUGAUUUGAAAAUAGCCUCAAGGAAGCAUGAAUAGCACGAGAUCAAGCGUCAUGAGCUCAUCAGAUUCACAGGUGGUUCCUCUUUCCAGAUUUGCAACAUGACUAAUGGUUGGGAUAGUUGAGAACAGUCCUACCUCUUCCUUAACUAUAUUCUUAAUAAUUAUCUCACUACUGAUACAAAGCAGAAAUAUCUGCUGAGUUUAUGUGUAGGAUAUUAAAUUUAAAAACCUAGUUGAAAUCUUUUUGCAAGAAGGAAACUAGAAUGAAAGUAUCUAGCAGGGCAACUGGUUUAUAAUUGAAGAUAGUUUUUCUUCAUAAAGAUGACACAGAAAACCCUUUAUUCUGAAGGAUUAGUUGGAUAGUUUGACGAACAUUUGAUUUCAUCACUCAGCACUGGUUCUGAACUAUUGAUAUUUUAUAGUGUUGCGCUAUCUUCCUAUCUUUCAGUUUUGGGUAUUUGGGUUACUGAAUCUCAGGAUUGGGAUCCCUACACUGUUUGGACCUAGUCUGUAUCCAUUUAACAGUGACUGUCGAGCAUCUGAAAUGUGGUGAAUCUGCCCUGAGAUAGGCUAUAAGUGUAAAAUGCACACCUCUUUGCAAAGGCUUCAUUUGAUGGAGCUCCUGGGUGGCUCAGUAGGUUAAG
Long non-coding RNA from Neofelis nebulosa (Clouded leopard), 4571 nucleotides. RefSeq lists it as uncharacterized. The record is from RefSeq and is a predicted model, not a curated record. NCBI's taxonomy places the organism in Eukaryota, Metazoa, Chordata, Mammalia, Carnivora, Felidae. The transcript has 3 exons.